RNAcentral lists this unclassified non-coding RNA (279 nucleotides) under uncultured fungus. RNAcentral describes it as "sequence contains ITS1". Lineage: Eukaryota; Fungi. The record is from RNAcentral.
UUAAUUAUUUAACUAUUUUCAGAUAUAACAUGCUUGAGAAGAAUUUAUUGUGGGCUACUGACAGGCACGGGCCAGAGGUUUUAACCCCUCCGGCGGUCCGGUUAAAGACGGGCCCGCCAAAGCAACAUGGUAGUUAUACAAAGGGUUGGAGAUCGGGCCUAGAAGACCCUAACUCUUUAAUGAUCCUUCCGCAGGUUCACCUAAAAAAUCACAUAAGUUAGCGAAAUGUCACAAAAAGAUAGAGGAAUUUUUGGUUAGGGUAUAACUCACCUACGGAAA